This 395-nucleotide ribosomal RNA is filed under the name uncultured bacterium. RNAcentral describes it as "partial 16S ribosomal RNA". It matches the Rfam family "Bacterial small subunit ribosomal RNA", at positions 523 to 918 of the family's 1533-position model. The record is from RNAcentral.
AUACGUAUGGUGCAAGCGUUAAUCGGAAUUACUGGGCGUAAAGCGUGCGCAGGCGGUUCGGAAAGAAGGAUGUGAAAUCCCAGGGCUCAACCUUGGAACUGCAUUCAUAACUACCGAACUAGAGUAUGUCAGAGGGGGGUAGAAUUCCGCGUGUAGCAGUGAAAUGCGUAGAUAUGCGGAGGAAUACCGAUGGCGAAGGCAGCCCCCUGGGAUAAUACUGACGCUCAUGCACGAAAGCGUGGGUAGCAAACAGGAUUAGAUACCCUGGUAGUCCACGCCCUAAACGAUGUCAACUAGCUGUUGGGCCCUUCGGGGCUUAGUAGCGUAGCUAACGCGUGAAGUUGACCGCCUGGGGAGUACGGCCGCAAGGUUGAAACUCAAAUGAAUUGACUGGG